AUCAAUGUAGCAGUCUUCACCGGUGACUAGAAGCCAAUCCGACUAGCCUGAGAAGGGCCGCCACUCUCACAUAUUUUCUUUGCACAUGAUUUUGUUCUUUUUGGAGAGGCGUCAUGAAGACAGGCUUCAGUAAUGAUUCAGUGCUUGUAUACCUUCUCCUUUGCUUCUGGAUAGUCUGUGAGUAAGGAAAAAUCAGUGGUUUUCUUUUCACAAACGGUUCCUAGGCCAGAAAAUAUUUGGGCAUUCCAGUUCUACAUGAAAGGAUCACGAACGCAACAUACCAGGAAAUCCUAUACAGGUUAGAUCAGAAGUUAGCUGGCUGGAAGGCAUCCUCUCUCUCACUUGCUGGUAGAGUAACUCUUGCCCAGUCUAUUUUAUCUGAUAUCCUAACCUAUGUUAUGCAAACCACUGUGCUUCCUAGUCAUGUCUAUAGUGAAAUUGAUAAGCGCAUUAUGAGUUUUUUUUUGGGGCACCACAACUGAAGCAAGGAAGAGACAUCUUGUCUCUUGGGAGAAGAUUUUCCCAUAAAAACAUAGCAGUGGGCUCUGCCUGCGAUUGACUCGUCAACUCAAUCAAGCUUAUAUGAUCAAACUGGGUUUUCGUUUCCUUGCAAAACAAGAUGAUUUGUGGGUGCAGGUAGUACAUACCAAAUAUAAUAAACAUGUGGAGGGUGGCUUUCGCCAGAGACAUUCCUUCUCGAAGUGGAUCUUAUGGCGAGGAAUCUGGGCAGCUAUGCCCCAUGUUGCAAUGGGUGUGCGAGAUGGGUCAAAUACUUCAUUAUGGACUGGUCAUUGGAUCGAUAUCGGAACCCGCCUUAUCGACUUUAUCCUACCUUCAGUGGCUGACACGGACGUUGGAGCACCGGCUUCCGCCUUCUGUACGUCCUCAGGUGAGUGGGAUUUCCCACAUAUUCGUUACAUAGUCUCUGAGUAUAUGGUUUUCGUGUUGCUGCAAUGUCACCCCCACGGUCGGGAAGCAAGUGAGGACACCAUCUGUUGGGCUUGGAAAAAGGAUGGGAGGUUCUGGAUUCUCUCAGCUUAUGUGCUUCUUGACGAGGGCGAGGAUCUGGUGGACCCCCCUGACUGGCGCAUUGUCUGGAGCUGGCGCAGCCCUAACCGAAUUAAACAUUUUCUUUGGUUAGUUUCUCAUGACAGAUUGCUAACGAAGGAGGUAAGGAGACACAAACACCUAGUGACGGAUGGAGCUUGUGCAUGCUGCCAACACCCGAUGGAAACAAUCUUACAUAUGUUUCGGGACUGUCCCUUCGUGGUUACCACCUGGGAGCGACUUGCCUUCCUUUCUGAAGAUCAAACGAACUGGGAUUCCUCACUUCUGCCUUGGAUCACACACCACUUGAAGGCGUCGAGCACUAGCCUUCUGUUUGGGGUUGCUUGCUCGUCUCUUUGGAAGGCUAGAAAUGAAACCAUAUUUACUGAAACUAGCACCACUCCCGAGGCUCUUGCACAGCGUAUCAUAUCAUGGGCCGAGAAAAUUGUGGAGGCCUUUAUACGUGACCAGUCCACUCAUACUGGUUCACCCACCAAGACGGUGUUGGAUGUCUCUUGGCCGUCACCACCACCAGAGUGGGUUGCUCUUAACUCUGACGGGUCCAUUAUUUUUUAGACCGGAAAAGCUGCAGCAGGAGGCUUAUUCCGUGAUUCUGAUGGUCGCUAUUUAGCGUCAUAUUCAAUGAACCUGGGGAUCAAGUCGAUAACUAGGGUUGAGUUGAGAGUUAGUGUGCAAGGGUUACAGCUGGCUUGGGAGUUUGGGUACAUAUAGGUACGGCCGCAACUGGAUUCACAAGCUGCGAUCCAACAUCCGCUAGCAGAGGGUGAGAGCACCCAUCAACACUCUUCUGAAGUCGCUCAGUUAUGUGAUCUUUUGGAUCAUGACUGGACUAUCAAAGUUGAGCACAUAUAUCGGGAAGGCAACCGAGCAGCUGACUAUCUAGCUGCUCUAGGUCAUAGCUUAUCUAUUGGUGUUCAUUCAAUUCCCAUUAGUGUUGCGUAGGUUUUACCCAAAAAAAAGUUUAACCACUAUAUUACUCGACUAUUCCAUAGAAGUGGUUACUUUUUUAUUAUAAUUAGUGGUUACUUUAUUAUUGUAAACAUAUUUAUCAUCCAAAAUUGUGGAGUUCGUGUUAAGCAUAUAUGUAUAUUUAGAAGACAAUUAUGUGACACACUAGAUAGCUGGAGAGCUUUAGAGUUAUCGUUGUGGAUGCAUAUGAUUUUGAUUUGUAAUGGGAAGCUUCAGUUAUGAACUCUUUAAUUACGAUAGUUUGAAUUGAGUCUCGAUUGACUCAAAUAUAUAUAGU
RNAcentral lists this long non-coding RNA (2314 nucleotides) under Linum usitatissimum (flax). RNAcentral's name for it is "long non-coding RNA (LUSI_LNC005182)". The record is from RNAcentral. Lineage: Eukaryota; Viridiplantae; Streptophyta; Magnoliopsida; Malpighiales; Linaceae.